Molecule: long non-coding RNA, 314 nt
Organism: Perognathus longimembris pacificus (Pacific pocket mouse)
Lineage: Eukaryota; Metazoa; Chordata; Mammalia; Rodentia; Heteromyidae
Exons: 3
Source: RefSeq, a predicted model, not a curated record
GUAGCUAGAAUUACAAGUAGUAGUAAUUAUGCCCAUCAGUAUUGAAUUUUGUACUCAAGACCUUUCUCUUCAUUAGGCAGAUGCCCUAUUAGUUCAGCAUAUCCCAAGCCCUACAACUUUCUGUCAACUGUACCUUAAUAAGGCUGAAGGGAAAAAAAAAAAAUCGAAACAAUGUUUUAAAUGUAGUUAAGAAUAAUUUUGGCCUGAUAUAGGUAAACAUGUGCAAGCCCAAGUUAAGCUAGUUAAGCAUAUUUAAGCCCCUGAAUAAAAUCUUCAGCACCACAAAAAUAAAUAGGGGGAAAAAAACUCUUGAG